AUCUUCAUUCAUUAAAUGAGUUGGAUUUUUUUCCUGGGGUAUGACUACAUGCUUUUUUUGAAUCAAGGAACAUUGUGACCAGACCUAUGUGGAUGGCUGUAAGAACAAAGAAUUCCAAGACCGAGAAGUUUGCAACAACCAGCCACACUCCCUCCCCUUUUAGUAUAAAAGAAGCCUGAAUUCUA
Molecule: long non-coding RNA, 185 nt
Organism: Orcinus orca (killer whale)
Lineage: Eukaryota; Metazoa; Chordata; Mammalia; Artiodactyla; Delphinidae
Exons: 3
Source: RefSeq, a predicted model, not a curated record